UACGUAGGGGGCUAGCGUUAUCCGGAAUUAUUGGGCGUAAAGGGUGCGUAGGCGGUCCUACAAGUCAGAGGUGAAAGGCUACGGCUCAACCGUAGUAAGCCUUUGAAACUGUAGGACUUGAGUGCAGGAGAGGAGAGUGGAAUUCCCAGUGUAGCGGUGAAAUGCGUAGAUAUUGGGAGGAACACCAGUUGCGAAGGCGGCUCUCUGGACUGUAACUGACGCUGAGGCACGAAAGCGUGGGGAGCGAACAGGAUUAGAUACCCUGGUAGUCCACGCCGUAAACGAUGAGUACUAGGUGUCGGGGGUUACCCCCCUCGGUGCCGCAGCUAACGCAUUAAGUACUCCGCCUGGGAAGUACGCUCGCAAGAGUGAA
This 373-nucleotide ribosomal RNA is filed under the name uncultured bacterium. RNAcentral's name for it is "bacterial SSU rRNA". It matches the Rfam family "Bacterial small subunit ribosomal RNA", at positions 524 to 898 of the family's 1533-position model. The record is from RNAcentral.